RNAcentral lists this ribosomal RNA (242 nucleotides) under uncultured bacterium. RNAcentral's name for it is "partial 16S ribosomal RNA". It matches the Rfam family "Bacterial small subunit ribosomal RNA", at positions 524 to 761 of the family's 1533-position model. The record is from RNAcentral.
UACGUAGGGUGCGAGCGUUAAUCGGAAUUACUGGGCGUAAAGCGUGCGCAGGCGGUCUGUUAAGACAGAUGUGAAAAUCCCCCGGGCUUAACCUGGGAACUGCAUUUGUGACUGGCAGGCUAGAGUAUGGCAGAGGGGGGGUAGAAUUCCACGUGUAGCAGUGAAAUGCGUAGAGAUGUGGAGGAAUACCGAUGGCGAAGGCAGCCCCCCUGGGCCAAUACUGACGCUCAUGCACGAAAGCG